CGGGGAGUAGCGCAGUCUGGUAGCGCAUCUGGUUUGGGACCAGAGGGUCGUAGGUUCGAAUCCUAUCGCCCCGACCA
RNAcentral lists this transfer RNA (77 nucleotides) under compost metagenome. RNAcentral's name for it is "tRNA-Pro". It matches the Rfam family "tRNA". From Rfam's summary of the family: Transfer RNA (tRNA) molecules are approximately 80 nucleotides in length. The record is from RNAcentral.